Molecule: RNA transcript, 1215 nt
Organism: Empidonax traillii (willow flycatcher)
Lineage: Eukaryota; Metazoa; Chordata; Aves; Passeriformes; Tyrannidae
Gene name: regulator of cell cycle RGCC-like
Exons: 6
Source: RefSeq, a predicted model, not a curated record
CCACCCCAUCAUCGGUUUGGGGCCAAAACCGCCGGACCGGCACCCGCCGCUGCCGCGGGACCGGAGCGCAGGGAGCAGGGCAGAGCCGAGCCCGCCGAGCAGCCGCCAUGGCUGAGGAGCUCAGUGACCUGCUGAGAGAGUUUGAUGAGGUGAUGGAGGACUUUGACCGGGGCCCUGCGUGUCAGUACCAGCAGCACCUGGAAGAGCUGAAGAGGAAAGCGGGACACAGCGUGUAUGACAGUGGCAUCGAUGAGCUGGAGAGUGCCAGCACGUCCCCAGGAAGCAGCCUCAACUCCAGUGAGGAGCACCUCAACACCCCAGCCGACACCUACCCUGCCAAAGCUAAGCUUGGUGACACGCAGGAGCUGGAGGAGUUCAUCGCGGACCUGGAUAAAGCCUUGGAGGGCUCUUUCAGCUGGGGCAGAAACACAAGGGCUGCCUGUCUGGUGCCUCAGCUGAAGAGAUGGAGGUGCUGGUACCUGGGGAGGGGACUGGGGAUAUGAAGGCCAUGCUGGCCCUGGCAAGGAUGCCCAACAGGACAACCUGCAGAGCUGUUGAUGCUUCUGGAAAGAUGCAGAGGCGCCUGUGGCUCUCUGCCUGCAGCCUCCUUCCAGCUCCUGCUUGGAGGCUGCUCUUUGCUUGAGGGGGAAAGAGAUGUGAGAUGUGGUUCGAGGUUUGCAGAGGAGGAUCCCCAGCAGCCGAGCCCCCCUGAUGCCUGCCUGAUGCACCUUCUGCUUCUGCACUCACUGCUGGCCUGGGGAUGGCUCCUGGGGCCGUGCUGGGGCCGGGGACAGGUACAGGCAUGGGCAGUGGGGACGGAUCUGGCCGUGGGACAGUGGUGGCAGGACCCUGCCAGCGCUGAGAGAGGACAACCCUGGGUGGGCACGGGGGCUGGUGGCUCCCGGGACUGAGUGGGUUGAGGAGGUCUGUGCCACUGAUGAAGCCCUUGGAGACCCCCUGGGUGAUUUUGGGGAAGGACAUCAGUGUGACUUUGGUGUCCCCUCCAGGUUGGGAGAGCCCGUUCCCCCGGUGGCAUCUGUCACAGGUGGUGGCAGCCACUGCUGGCCCUUUGCUUUGCAUGGGGCCCCCCAAAUCUGGCCCAUGCCUGCCCCCCCAAGUGCCUCUGCCCCAGCUGCUGCUGCUGUAAAUACUGUAAAAAGGAUGUUUUGGGCUGUACAGAGAGAAUGUGUUUCUAUAAACAGGAUUUUAAGCCUC